GGCUCAGGAUGAACGCUAGCGGCAGGCCUAACACAUGCAAGUCGAGGGCAGCGUGACGGUAGCAAUACUGUUGACGGCGACCGGCGCGACGGGUGCGUAACGCGUAUGCAACCUGCCUCCAACAGGGAGAUAAUCCGGGAGAAAUUUGGUCUAAUAUCCCAUAAUAUACUGAACGGCAUCGUUUGGUAUUGAAAGAUUCGUUGGUUGGAGAUAGGCAUGCGUUCCAUUAGAUAGUUGGUGAGGUAACGGCUCACCAAGUCGACGAUGGAUAGGGGUUCUGAGAGGAAGGUCCCCCACAUUGGUACUGAGACACGGACCAAACUCCUACGGGAGGCAGCAGUGAGGAAUAUUGGUCAAUGGGCGAGAGCCUGAACCAGCCAAGUCGCGUGAAGGAUGAAGGAUCUAUGGUUUGUAAACUUCUUUUAUACGGGAAUAAAGUGUGGUACGUGUACCAUUUUGUAUGUACCGUAUGAAUAAGCAUCGGCUAACUCCGUG
This 495-nucleotide ribosomal RNA is filed under the name uncultured bacterium. RNAcentral describes it as "bacterial SSU rRNA". It matches the Rfam family "Bacterial small subunit ribosomal RNA", at positions 21 to 507 of the family's 1533-position model. The record is from RNAcentral.